GAAGCUAGGGUAAGGGCCUAGCUUGAGGACAACGCAUACAGAGAAUUAGGGUUCGAUUCUGGAGAGGGCGCACGAGAGAUGGCGACCACUUCUAAGGGAGGCAGCAGGCGCGCAAAUUACCCAAUGUCGCACUGACGAGGUAGUGAACAUCAAUAACAAUGUGGCGCUCAAUAAGAGUGCUACAGUUGGAAUGAGAUAUGAGAAGAACGAAAAGCGAGUAACAAGUGGAGGGCAAGUCUGGUGCCAGCAGCCGCGGUAAUACCAGCUCCACUAGCGUAUGUUAAAGUUGCUGCAGCUAAAACGCUCGUAGUUGUGGUUGAGUGGAGGAGCUGGACUGUUUACGCAAGUAAGCGGUUCAGCCCCCCCACAAUAUCUUGGAGUGAAUUUUAAUUAAUUCAUUCCUAGUAAACCUUGAAGAAAUAUUAACGCUUAAAAUUGGUCUUACGACCAAAUUCUUUUUGCAUGGGAUUUUAGAAUACGAGAGGCGCCGUCAAAAGUGCUUCUAAUGACAUUUGAGGAAGAAAGAGGUGGUUAAUACUAGGACGUCAGAGGUGAAAUUCUUGGAUUGUCCUAUGAUUAACUGAUGCGAAGGCGUUCUACAAUUGCUUUCCUGUCAAUCAAGAACGAAAGUAAGGGGAUCGAAGACGAUCAGAUACCGUCGUAGUCUUUACAGUAAAUUCUGCCGACAAAGGAAAUGGAAACGACAUAGAAUGGUGGGGAAACUCGCCAUUUAAUAUCCUUCCAUUUUCUCCCACGAAAGUUCAAGUCUUUGGGUUCUGGGGGGAGUAUGUUCGCAAGGCCGAAACUUAAAGGAAUUGACGGAAGGGCACCACCAGGCGUGGAGCCUGCGGCUUAAUUUGACCCAACACGGGAAAACUUACCAGGUCCAGACAGCGUGAGGAUUGACAGAUUGAAAGCUCUUUCAUGAUUCGUUGGGUGGUGGUGCAUGGCCGUUCUUAGUUGGUGGUGCGAGCUGUCUGGUUGAUUCCGUUAACGAACGAGACCUUUGUCAGAUAAUAGAAGGACUUGGAUAUUGCAUCAAGGCAGCGUCGGCGUAUGUGGCCAUCCUUCGGGACCCAUUUACUCACUGGCGUUGUUGCUUUUCCAAGUCAAAUCUUCUUUCUGAGACUAAUGCAGAAAAUGCAUUGGAAGUUGGAGGCAAAAACAGGUCUGUGAUGCCCUUCGAUGUUCUGGGCUGCACGCGCGCUACAAUGAUAGAGUCAACGAGUUUUCUCCUUGCUCGAAAGGGCUGGGUAAUCUUAUGAAACUCUAUCGUAACUAGGAUCGCUGAUUGAAACUAUUCGGCGUGAAUCAGGAAUGCCUUGUAAUUACGAGUCAUCAGCUCGUAGUGAAUACGUCCCUGCCCUUUGUACACACCGCCCGUCGCUCCUACCAAUUGGUGUCAACGGUGAAAUGAUCGGAGUCGACUCUUUUCUGGGGUCAAACCUGGUGGGAGAUGGCAGAGUUCUUUAAAUCUUUGGCACUAGAGGAAGGAGAAGUCGUAACAAGGUU
Molecule: ribosomal RNA, 1512 nt
Filed under: metagenome
Description: SSU rRNA
Rfam family: Eukaryotic small subunit ribosomal RNA
Source: RNAcentral